Long non-coding RNA from Saccostrea cuccullata (small rock oyster), 1313 nucleotides. RefSeq lists it as uncharacterized. The transcript is spliced from 6 exons. Lineage: Eukaryota; Metazoa; Mollusca; Bivalvia; Ostreida; Ostreidae. The record is from RefSeq and is a predicted model, not a curated record.
AAAAUUUGUAAAUUGCAAAAAGUUGAAAAACAAACGUUUCUUUACCUGAAAAGUGAAAGUAGGUUUGCAGUUUCUUAUUCUGUCAAGUGCUAUUGCACUUUAAAGUGUCAAAACAGCACCUCUCGAUUUUGUAAACAUGUUUCCACGUGGAAGGGAGUAGUGUGUCGGUCAAGAUUAACCCACAUACAUUGAUUUAGUAAACAAAAACACUCGUUAGAGUACAUUUUGAACAGCCAUCUCCAGGUAUGACAAAAAUAACACAAUUGACCCUACAUGUAUAAGGAUAUACUCUGAAGACAGCGAUGUGCAAGUUCAAGGUUUGACUGUUCAGAUACUUUAAUAAUAAAGAAUGGGUGAAAAAAUUCUCACGUCAUGCUGCAUAACAGUACAUUUCAGCUGUAACAAAACAAAUUAUCUGAUGAAAGCUUCAACCACAAGAAUCUAGGAAAGGAUGUCAAGUCCAAAGAGAAGACCAUAUAACAAAUGGUUGCUGAAUUCAUGAAGACUAGCUGGGAUGAUACAGUACUUUUCUACUCUUAUAAACCAUAUCUAAACAUCAUUUGAGGAUCCCUUUCUCAGAAAAAAAGAAUCUGCAUAUUCAAAGACUCUAUAGUUUAUUGUUUAUUUGUACGUUGUUUAACAUUCUUUUUGAGAAUUUUUCACUCAUAUGGGGAUGCCAACAUUUGCCGGUGGAGAGCUGCAAAUUUUGUCCUUUACUUGGCACACAUAGCUAAUUGAGCAAUCAGGAAUCUUUUUGGUGCUAGCACCUACUGCAACACAGGACCUCUGUAUAUACAGUUUCAUUUCUAUGUCCGACUGGGGGAUUUCGAACCAGCAAUUUAAGGAUCAACUCCUUACUCAUGGCUCUCGAGCAGACGCUCUUGCCACUGUGCCAUGCAGGUGACUUCAUAGGUUAUAAAAUAAUAAGAUAAGAUUUAUAACUUAAAACUGAAGUUUUUAAUUCAAUCACAGUAUAGAAAAUGUUUGCAAAAAAGGGAGGUAAUAGCUACAAGUAGCUCUCUCUGGUAUUGCAUGCUUAAACUAUAUGAAUUACAUAUUGUAAUUACACAUGUAUUUUAGAAACACUUGAAUAUGUUUACUGUGAAUUUUAUUAUAAAGUUGAUUAUCUUUAAAAAAUGGAACUUUAAUUUUUUUUAGUAGGAAAAAAAUAUUUAGAAUGUACAUGUGCAUUAAUUUUGUUUAUUAAAUAUAGUCAAAGUUUGGAGAUCUUGUGAAAGGUAUCUAAUUAAUAAAAUAUGUGAAGGGUAUCUAAAUAUUGAUUUAUAAAUUUUUACUUCAUUUUUAAACAGCAU